RNAcentral lists this long non-coding RNA (1356 nucleotides) under Fukomys damarensis (Damara mole-rat). RNAcentral describes it as "lncRNA (ENSFDAG00000029011.1)". Lineage: Eukaryota; Metazoa; Chordata; Mammalia; Rodentia; Bathyergidae. The record is from RNAcentral.
UGUGCUUCUUCAUAUACUAAUUGCUACCUUGGUUAACAGCCCGCCCAGGGGCAAAUGGUUUGACAAAAGGUGACCCUAGAACAUUUCCUGCAUAAGAUAAGCAAUGUGUUUGCAGUCUUGUUCUGUGAAUUCCCUGACUCUUUGUUUAGAAAAACCUUAUAAAAAGUACCUCAGCCCCUGAGCAGUUGCCUCUGUGAGCCACCUGGCUCCGGGAGGGCCAUCUGGCCAGACUAAUAAAGGUCUUUUACCAUCUAGCCUGGUGUGUUCCUUCCUGGGUUUCUCGGUUCGGUUCUCUGUCGUGUUCCCGGGGCCUCGCUGGGUGUUAGGGCCCAGCAUCGUGGAGGCCUUUUGGCUGUUCACGCUCCGUGGAGUGGAAGUGAGACUUUAGGUCUUACAUAUUGGAGGCCCCAGCGAGAUACCCAGGUGGGAACUGUAAAUCUGGCCGAGAUUCUCUGUUGCGGGAUCCAGCAGGAGAUUCUCAGACACAGACCUUUGAAAGCCUCCGGAGGUAAGCUUUGAACCGGUUGCAACUGUCUGUAUGUCAGGAUCGAGGUGGCUGAUGAGCCGGGAAACCUCCCCUGACCCCGUCCCUGAUGAGGACUCCGGGUAGAAUCAAAGCUUUUCUUUUUGUGUGGCACCUGUCUGUCUUGUCAGUGUCUCGUCUGUUGAGUGUUAAACUAAAUUUGUUCCUAGGGACAAGAUGGGAGCAUCCAGCUCCAAGAACACCACCCCACUGGAUUGCUAACUAAUUUUAAAAUUGUUUUUUUUUUCCCUGAGCAGAAGGAUGAUUACGGGGUUAAAUUCUCUCAUGGAAAGCUUUGCUCCCUGUGUCAAUCCGAGUCCCACCGGAGCAAGCGACUGUCUGCCUCCUUGGAAGGGAAAAGGUGCACCCCCAGGAUUUCCUGGGUUCCCUUUCUAGGACGCAGAGGCCGGCUCGUCAAUAGUGGAACAGAAAGAAGGAAAAUGAAUAAAAUCAUCUGUCUGAAUGAAAAUGUGACAUCGUUUCAGGCAAAUCCCAGUGUUUCCCCUUUGGAGGAGGUCGAGCUGUCUCCCCUCCACUUGAGUUGCUAAGAUAGAAGGUAUGAAGGAGGUAAGGGUAGAACAAAGUUGUUUAACCUUACUGCACUGGAGGAUGCAAAUGGGAAAGCAUGAUGGGACUCAGAAAAAAGAUGAAACAGGGCUUACACUCAGAUUAAAAGAACUAAAAGGAGAAAAUCUCUAAUGGAUUAAAAUCAGGUAGGAAAAUUCUGAAAGACAAAAUUAUAAGGAAAAAAAAACAAAAAACUGCAAGCCAGAGAAACUGCAAUUGUGUUUUGGCAGACAUCAAGAGAUUUUUACAACAAAAAUCAAGUUAGA